This is a long non-coding RNA of Micropterus salmoides (largemouth bass), 844 nucleotides long. RefSeq lists it as uncharacterized. The record is from RefSeq and is a predicted model, not a curated record. The transcript is spliced from 2 exons. Lineage: Eukaryota; Metazoa; Chordata; Actinopteri; Centrarchiformes; Centrarchidae.
ACAACUGCUCGAUGCUGGAGAGGACUGCAUAAGCUGAUGAAAAUGAAGCCCAUAUCGGUGCCAAGAAAAUCAUAUCCUGAACCCUUCUCCGUGGAAAUCAAUCUGAGAAGUUGGCGUGGACCUGGGCUCUUGGCACUCCCCGCACCGAUCUGCAAUCAGCUCAAUUUAUCUCAAUCCACAACUCACCAGCUCCAUAACGACCGACUCCUCACAUCUGGUCCCUGCCCAGUCGUUGAGUCACUCUGUCCUGGCUGCCUACCUGUUCACUCGCUCCCAGCCACACCUGAUCAGCCUCUGGACCCCGCUCACUCAUUCUGCUCUCUGGGGACACACUCUGGGGAGUAGCCUACCUCCAAAAGCCCUGAUUCAUCCCACACCUUUUGAACGGUGUAUAAACAGUUAAACUUACUGUAGGUCUGCAUCCACGUUGCAUCAUAUUAUUUUUUGUUAAGUGUUUAUUUUUGUAAUUUACCACAGCUUGUGUAACAGUGCAUCACUUACUAUCCCAGGUUGUUUGUCUUUACAUUAUUAAAGUCUACAGCUAAGCAUAUGAUAAGUAAACACACAGUCAUAAUUUAGUUUCAGUUACAUUUAAUUAGUUUACAUAUUUGAACAUGGUUCAACUGUUUUCCUGUCUUAAUACUUUUUCCUUUGUUCAGUUCCACCAUGCAGGACAGUUGUUUGCGGAGGGGCAUUUCCUGUUUCUUGUUUUCAAGUAGGAGGGUUUCUUUCCUCAUAGGAAUGUAUCUUUUGGCUGUUGUGGUUAUUUUUAGUAAAUGUGUAAGGAUCUCUGACCUGUUUUCAAAUCAUUGGGAGAGAAGUAAACUGAUAAUCAAGUUCCCAA